GUAGUCCACGCUGUAAACGAUGAGAACUAGAUGUUGGUUGGGGAACCCAUCAGUAUCGAAGCUAACGCGAUAAGUUCUCCGCCUGGGAAGUACGGCCGCAAGGUUGAAACUCAAAUGAAUUGACGGGGGCCCGCACAAGCGGUGGAGCAUGUGGUUUAAUUCGAUGCAACGCGAAGAACCUUACCUACCCUUGACAUCCUGCGAAUUCUGAAGAGAUUCGGAAGUGCCGAAAGGAACGCAGAGACAGGUGCUGCAUGGCUGUCGUCAGCUCGUGUUGUGAGAUGUUGGGUUAAGUCCCGUAACGAGCGCAACCCUUGUCCUUAGUUACCAGCAAGUAAAGUUGGGGACUCUAAGGAGACUGCCGGUGAUGAACCGGAGGAAGGCGGGGACGACGUCAAGUCAUCAUGGCCUUUAUGGGUAGGGCUACACACGUGCUACAAUGGGGCGUACAGAGGGUCGCCAACCCGCGAGGGGGAGCCAAUCUCUUAAAGCGUCUCGUAGUCCGGAUUGGAGUCUGCAACUCGACUCCAUGAAGUUGGAAUCGCUAGUAAUCGCGAAUCAGCAACGUCGCGGUGAAUACGUUCCCGGGCCUUGUACACACCGCCCGUCACGUCAUGGAAGUGGAUGGUACCAGAAGCGGGUAGUUUAACCGUAAGGGAGACGCCUGCCACGGUAUGAUUCAUGACUGGGACG
Molecule: ribosomal RNA, 693 nt
Filed under: uncultured Aquicella sp.
Lineage: Bacteria; Pseudomonadati; Pseudomonadota; Gammaproteobacteria; Legionellales; Coxiellaceae
Description: bacterial SSU rRNA
Rfam family: Bacterial small subunit ribosomal RNA
Source: RNAcentral